GUUCCUCCCCUCACCAAGCUCGAUCACCGCAGGUUAACUCCAGACUGCUGUGCUGACAGUGAGAAUUUCAAGCCAGUGGUUCCUAGCUUGCCGGGCUCCGUGGGAGUGGGACCUAAUGAGUGAGACUGCUUGGCUUCCUGGCUUAAGCUCCAUUUCCGGGGGAGUGGAUGGUUCUUCUGUUUUGCUGGAGUUCCAGGCACCGCUGGGGCAAAAUUGUUGAGCCAAGGUCCUGGAACUGUGAGUAAGAAAAUGACAAACCCAUCUCUCAGUGGCACCCCUACUGCAGGAGUUGAGCACUCAUUAGAGAAGAGCAGCAGGAAAUGGACCUGAAUAUCCUCUUAGCAGCCAUGACUGGAUGCCAAAUGGGACAAAGAAGGAUGUCAUGACUCAUUAGUGUAAACAGGAGGAAGUUGACUACUUCAAUUUUCU
This 429-nucleotide long non-coding RNA is filed under the name Homo sapiens (human). RNAcentral describes it as "HSALNT0213914". The record is from RNAcentral. Lineage: Eukaryota; Metazoa; Chordata; Mammalia; Primates; Hominidae.